This 734-nucleotide long non-coding RNA is filed under the name Equus asinus (donkey). RNAcentral describes it as "lncRNA (ENSEASG00005027090.1)". The record is from RNAcentral. Lineage: Eukaryota; Metazoa; Chordata; Mammalia; Perissodactyla; Equidae.
GAAUACCUCAGCGUCUUAUCUGCCGGGAGCCAUCUGUCUCACCCCCAGAGAGGUCUUCACCAACAGAUCAAUAAAGGAAACGCGUCAGCUGGGUGGCCGUGGUUGGGAAGAAGAGGUGAACAAGCUCGGCACGGUCUGUGGAGGUGUCGACCUCGCUCCCCACGGCCUUCUCUGUUUCAGACUUAACAAAAUGUCUUUCUUCUCAUCAUGGAUGAAAGCUAUUUUUGUCAUUGCCUUGCUGUUUCCUCUACAUUCUGAAACUGGUCUUUCACAUCCACUUUCAACGGGGAAUAAGAGACCACCAAACUGUGACAUAUAUAAAGAUGUUUUACAUUGCACCAAUAUGUGGAAUCCAGUCUGCGCAACCGAUGACAUCACUUAUCACAACAUAUGCACUUUCUGCCAGCAAAAAUUAAAGUCUGGUGGAAAAUUGGAUUUUCUGUUUUUCGGUCAAUGUUCUUAGCUCAGAGCUACACCUUCUUAUGCCUUUUCUUGCAAUGCUAUUUUGCAGUGGAUUCUACAAGCAAUUAGAGUCUUCUCAGUCAGAGCUUUAAAUUUGCAGAUGACCACACAAAGCCUGCUGUGGCAUACAAGAUGAAAUGUAGGAUGUUGAAGAAUUUUUCUAAUCUGUGAUUCAAAGAUUUUUAUCCUCUAUGUUGAAUUAUCAGUGGCAGUUGAAAAACCGUCUUAAUUGUAGUUGAUAAUAUAAAGCCUAUGUAACUUAAAAUCAUAAA